RNAcentral lists this ribosomal RNA (207 nucleotides) under uncultured Eubacteriales bacterium. RNAcentral's name for it is "uncultured Clostridiales bacterium partial 16S ribosomal RNA". It matches the Rfam family "Bacterial small subunit ribosomal RNA", at positions 568 to 775 of the family's 1533-position model. Lineage: Bacteria; Bacillati; Bacillota; Clostridia; Eubacteriales. The record is from RNAcentral.
UGAGUAGGCGGUUACAUAUGUCAGAUGUAAAAGGCACAGGCUUAACUUGUUUUAGCAUUUGAAACUGUGUGACUUGAGUGCAGGAGAGGUAAGUGGAAUUCCUAGUGUAGCGGUGAAAUGCGUAGAUAUUAGGAGGAACACCAGUGGCGAAGGCGACUUACUGGACUGUAACUGACGCUGAGUCACGAAAGCGUGGGUAGCAAACAG